This is a long non-coding RNA of Prinia subflava (tawny-flanked prinia), 861 nucleotides long. RefSeq lists it as uncharacterized. The record is from RefSeq and is a predicted model, not a curated record. The transcript is spliced from 3 exons. NCBI's taxonomy places the organism in Eukaryota, Metazoa, Chordata, Aves, Passeriformes, Cisticolidae.
GCUGUUUUGGAGCAGGACCUGCUCUUAUGCGCAACCGGUGUCCGUGGCUGCAGUUGCCAGCUUGGGAAUGCAUCGUGUGCGUGUGGCUGGGAGAGAAGAGCGGGGAAAUGAGGACAACAGAAAUACUCCCGCUUGGCAGGUGGUGGGGCUUGAUAAAAUAGAGACCGGUUUGUGGGCAGCUGUAAAGUGCUGAGUUAUUCUUGGGUUGCUUGUGUGCACGCUGAGCUUUCAAUACUUUACUGUGUGUUUUUCUCCUCUUCAGACAGUCAAAAGUAGAGCUGGCAAGGACACCCCCAGAACUGGGAGUAAGGAAUAAGGAGCUGGUAUGCUCAGCUUAAUAGAAUAGGCAAAAUCUAUAGUAGUUAAACUUGUCUGGUUUUGCUGCGAACUGUCUGCAGAGCUCUUCAUUUGUAUAAGAAAGCAAAAAAGCUGGCAGGCAGUGUUGGGAGUCCGAGGCGCUGUGAGUUAAUGAGCUCUCCUGCAGCAGCCUGAUGGCACGCACAUUUCGGACUGGCUUGUCCUUUAAGGGAAAAAACUGCGGAGCAGUGGGCAGCCGAAGGGAAUCGGCCGCCGUGUUCUGCUUUGUUGCUUGUUUGGAUGUCGGCGGCGUUGGUGUCCUGGGAACCGUGCUGGGGGCUGCCCUGCCAGCUCUCCCUGCUGCAAACAACUUUUAGGACUCUUGAUUACUUAAGCGUAUGCUGCUCUGCUUUUGAAAGAAUUACAUCACAUUACCUUUUGUAGCUGAUAUGAGGAAUGAGAAACUAGAUGAGUUCCUCAUGGCCCUGCUCUUCUACCUACCUUUUCACCUGGGAAAAAUUGCCCUAGAAAUACCCAGAAAAGGAAUGCAGAUCCUUGGUUUUG